RNAcentral lists this ribosomal RNA (266 nucleotides) under uncultured prokaryote. RNAcentral describes it as "partial 16S ribosomal RNA". It matches the Rfam family "Bacterial small subunit ribosomal RNA", at positions 524 to 788 of the family's 1533-position model. The record is from RNAcentral.
UACGUAGGUGGCGAGCGUUAUCCGGAAUUAUUGGGCGUAAAGAGCGCGCAGGUGGUUGAUUAAGUCUGAUGUGAAAGCCCACGGCUUAACCGUGGAGGGUCAUUGGAAACUGGUCGACUUGAGUGCAGAAGAGGGAAGUGGAAUUCCAUGUGUAGCGGUGAAAUGCGUAGAGAUAUGGAGGAACACCAGUGGCGAAGGCGGCUUCCUGGUCCGUAACUGACACUGAGGCGCGAAAGCGUGGGGAGCAAACAGGAUUAGAUACCCCU